CGGGUAAUAGCGCAGCUGGUAGCGCGCUUGGUUCGGGACCAAGAGGUCCCCGGUUCGAAUCCGGGUUGCCCGACAA
Molecule: transfer RNA, 76 nt
Filed under: Treponema primitia ZAS-2
Lineage: Bacteria; Pseudomonadati; Spirochaetota; Spirochaetia; Treponematales; Treponemataceae
Description: tRNA-Pro
Rfam family: tRNA
About the family: Transfer RNA (tRNA) molecules are approximately 80 nucleotides in length. Their secondary structure includes four short double-helical elements and three loops (D, anti-codon, and T loops). Further hydrogen bonds mediate the characteristic L-shaped molecular structure. tRNAs have two regions of fundamental functional importance: the anti-codon, which is responsible for specific mRNA codon recognition, and the 3' end, to which the tRNAs corresponding amino acid is attached (by aminoacyl-tRNA synthetases). tRNAs cope with the degeneracy of the genetic code in two manners: having more than one tRNA (with a specific anti-codon) for a particular amino acid; and 'wobble' base-pairing, i.e. permitting non-standard base-pairing at the 3rd anti-codon position.
Source: RNAcentral